This 1076-nucleotide long non-coding RNA is filed under the name Arabidopsis thaliana (thale cress). RNAcentral describes it as "long non-coding RNA (ATHA_LNC000467)". The record is from RNAcentral. Lineage: Eukaryota; Viridiplantae; Streptophyta; Magnoliopsida; Brassicales; Brassicaceae.
UUUAUGAUUACUUUAAGAAUUUAGAAUUCUUAGAGUGGAGACAAGUUUCUCUUGCUCAUGGCCUUAACAUUUCUGAGAAGCUCUGGUCUGAAUCAGAGACAUGUAUGGCCUAACUACGUAAGUUUAUUUAGUAACUCAAUUGUUUUGACUAGGGUUGAUAGAGAAACGUGUGCAGUAACCUACCAAAAUAGAUUUUGUUAUUUGGCAACAAAAAAAAAAAUAGAUUUUGUUGUAUUACUCUGUAUACCAAAACUGAUUUCAAUCCGUCUUUGUGGAAUUUAACCUGAUUAUAUGUACAAUUUUAGAAACGUAUAGGAUCCAUCAUGGACAAAGCAAACAUGUUUUGGAAAAAAAAAAAAAAAGUAAUAGAGACCAAAUGGAAAAACAUGGAUCUUUUAGACGAGAGAGUUCCAAGGUAGUGAUUAUUAGGGUUUUGAAGUUGGCUUAUAUAUGGCACAACUCUAUUCUUACCAUUGGGUUAAAACAACAUAUACACUAUAAUCUUGAUGUCGAUUACAUAUGUAUAAAAUUUGGCAUAAACAGCUCAAGAAAUUAUAGGAUAAAUAUGAAAGUAUUUUAUUCUCGGAUUGUGCUUUUCGUUAUAAAUUCCAAAUUUUAUAAUCAGAUGCGUUUUUUUAAGCAUUUUAUCAUCAGUUUUACUUCACUAGUAAAUGCAAAAAACAUAACGUAUGAAUAAAGAUUUUACAAAAUGAUAUUUUGGUUUCCAAGAGUUUACUACUACACUAUUUUUGAGUUCUAAUAUGAUGAUGAUGAUGCAAUCAAUAUUGAUUUCUUCAUAUGAUCAAAUGAUAUGAACUUUGCCAUCGCUGAUCAUCACUUUGUUAUCAUCUUGCAGUUUCUGCAUAAAAUCCACAAUAGAGUAAAGUUAUGAAGAUAUUGUAUAAAAAGUUAAAGAAUGAGAAAGCUUGUCUCUUAAUUUGUGAAUUACCUCUAAGAGAGCCAUAAUCUCAUCUGCAGAGUAACGAGAUGCUCCAACCCCAUUGUUGUUGACAACAGUCUCUAUAUCUGCAAUAGAGAUGUCAUCGAGCCUGUGUGUCCUCAUGUGCUGCCCAAAC